GGAUAUAGAUCCAUUGGAAGAGUGCUUGCCUUGCAUGCACAAGGCCCUGGGUUCAAUCCCCAGAACCA
This 68-nucleotide transfer RNA is filed under the name Marmota monax (woodchuck). RNAcentral's name for it is "tRNA.Ala". The record is from RNAcentral. Lineage: Eukaryota; Metazoa; Chordata; Mammalia; Rodentia; Sciuridae.